ACUCUGUCUGAUUUCUUCGGAUUGAAGACAGUUUGACUGAGCGGCGGACGGGUGAGUAACGCGUGGGGAACCUGCCUUACACAGGGGGAUAACAGUUAGAAAUGGCUGCUAAUACCGCAUAACCCGCUGGGGUCGCAUGACUCUGACGGAAAAGAUUGUAUCGGUGUAAGAUGGACCCGCGUCUGAUUAGCUGGUUGGUGUGGUAACGGCUCACCAAGGCGACGAUCAGUAGCCGACCUGAGAGGGUGAUCGGCCACAUUGGGACUGAGACACGGCCCAAACUCCUACGGGAGGCAGCAGUGGGGAAUAUUGCACAAUGGGGGAAACCCUGAUGCAGCAACGCCGCGUGAGUGAAGAAGUAUUUCGGUAUGUAAAGCUCUAUCAGCAGGGAAGAAAUUGACAGUACCUGACUAAGAAGCCCCGGCUAACUACGUGCCAGCAGCCGCGGUAAUACGUAGGGGGCAAGCGUUAUCCGGAUUUACUGGGUGUAAAGGGAGCGUAGACGGUUAUGCAAGUCAGAAGUGAAAGCCCAAAGCUCAACUUCGGGACUGCUUUUGAAACUGUGUAACUAGAGUGCAGGAGGGGUAAGCGGAAUUCCUAGUGUAGCGGUGAAAUGCGUAGAUAUUAGGAGGAACACCGGCGGCGAAGGCGGCUUACUGGACUGUAACUGACGUUGAGGCUCGAAAGCGUGGGGAGCAAACAGGAUUAGAUACCCUGGCAGUCCACGCCGUAAACGAUGAAUACUAGGUGUCGGGGGACAAAGUCCUUCGGUGCCGUCGCAAACGCAGUAAGUAUUCCACCUGGGGAGUACGUUCGCAAGAAUGAAACUCAAAGGAAUUGACGGGGACCCGCACAAGCGGUGGAGCAUGUGGUUUAAUU
Molecule: ribosomal RNA, 879 nt
Filed under: uncultured bacterium
Lineage: Bacteria
Description: bacterial SSU rRNA
Rfam family: Bacterial small subunit ribosomal RNA
Source: RNAcentral